RNAcentral lists this ribosomal RNA (605 nucleotides) under Curtobacterium flaccumfaciens. RNAcentral's name for it is "bacterial SSU rRNA". It matches the Rfam family "Bacterial small subunit ribosomal RNA", at positions 118 to 747 of the family's 1533-position model. The record is from RNAcentral. Lineage: Bacteria; Bacillati; Actinomycetota; Actinomycetes; Micrococcales; Microbacteriaceae.
UGAGUAACCUGCCCCUGACUCUGGGAUAAGCGUUGGAAACGACGUCUAAUACGGAUAUGAUCACUGGCCGCAUGGUCUGGUGGUGGAAAGAUUUUUUGGUUGGGGAUGGACUCGCGGCCUAUCAGCUUGUUGGUGAGGUAAUGGCUCACCAAGGCGACGACGGGUAGCCGGCCUGAGAGGGUGACCGGCCACACUGGGACUGAGACACGGCCCAGACUCCUACGGGAGGCAGCAGUGGGGAAUAUUGCACAAUGGGCGAAAGCCUGAUGCAGCAACGCCGCGUGAGGGAUGACGGCCUUCGGGUUGUAAACCUCUUUUAGUAGGGAAGAAGCGAAAGUGACGGUACCUGCAGAAAAAGCACCGGCUAACUACGUGCCAGCAGCCGCGGUAAUACGUAGGGUGCAAGCGUUGUCCGGAAUUAUUGGGCGUAAAGAGCUCGUAGGCGGUUUGUCGCGUCUGCUGUGAAAUCCCGAGGCUCAACCUCGGGCUUGCAGUGGGUACGGGCAGACUAGAGUGCUAGGGGAGAUUGGAUCCUGGUGUACGGAAUGCGCAGAUAUCAGGAGGAACUUGAUGGCGAACGCAUUAUGCUGGGCCGUGAAGAAACC